This 150-nucleotide long non-coding RNA is filed under the name Lonchura striata (white-rumped munia). RNAcentral describes it as "domestica (Bengalese finch) lncRNA (ENSLSDG00000003318.1)". The record is from RNAcentral. Lineage: Eukaryota; Metazoa; Chordata; Aves; Passeriformes; Estrildidae.
GGCAGGCUCAGUGGGUCUCUGUGGGUCUCUAUGGGUCAGAUGUGGGUCUCAGUGGGUCCCUGUGGGUCGCAGUGGGUCAGAUGUGGGGCAGGGCGGGCAGGCUCUGGAUGUGGGUCAGAUGUGGGUCUCAGUGGGUCUCUAUGGGUCGGC